Non-coding RNA from Paramuricea clavata, 500 nucleotides. Lineage: Eukaryota; Metazoa; Cnidaria; Anthozoa; Malacalcyonacea; Plexauridae. The record is from the annotation of a GenBank genome assembly.
AAAAUUAAAAUUAGCUCAAAUAAAAAAAUUUCGCUGUGUUUGUAAACGCUACUUCCAACCGGAAAUUUAAAGCCAAACUGGAGCCAGUCUUAGCCUGCAGGCUUUUAGCCAAUAAGAAAACGAGAACAGAGUAUAAUAAAUAAUAAUAAUAUCUCAGUUCUAAACUAUUCUUCCUAGAAGUCUAUAAAAACCUUCGUUAAAAGCCUAUUUAAGCUAAAAACUAACGAGGCUAUUUUCCUUUCUGUGACGUUGUCAGACUUUGAUAGUUAUGUUCAUCGCUCUGAUCUUGUAAAGGAUUUCUCCUCAGUGGCUCAUAGUUCGAUGGCUCUUCGUAUUUAUGACCUAAAUAAAGAAAAGCACAUGUAGAUGCGAGAACUGAUUUUGUAUAGAAUGUAUAUUUCAUUCUUGUAAUAUGGGGACUAAUACACUAAACUAACUUUAUUUACAUUGGAGAAGGCAUGUACAAGCGAUGAUCCUUACUGGACCUCUAGGAAGAACAG